CGGGACGGGUGAGUAACGCGUGGGUAACCUGCCUCAUACAGGGGGAUAACAGUUAGAAAUGACUGCUAAUACCGCAUAAGACCACAGCACCGCAUGGUGCAGGGGUAAGAGCUCCGGUGGUAUGAGAUGGACCCGCGUCUGAUUAGGUAGUUGGUGGGGUAACGGCCUACCAAGCCGACGAUCAGUAGCCGACCUGAGAGGGUGACCGGCCACAUUGGGACUGAGACACGGCCCAG
This 236-nucleotide ribosomal RNA is filed under the name uncultured bacterium. RNAcentral describes it as "partial 16S ribosomal RNA". It matches the Rfam family "Bacterial small subunit ribosomal RNA", at positions 100 to 334 of the family's 1533-position model. The record is from RNAcentral.